AGUGAACGCUGGCGGUAGGCCUAACACAUGCGAGUCGAACGGCAGCACAGUAAGAGCUUGCUCUUACGGGUGGCGAGUGGCGGACGGGUGAGGAAUACAUCGGAAUCUACUUUUUCGUGGGGGAUAACGUAGGGAAACUUACGCUAAUACCGCAUACGACCUACGGGUGAAAGCAGGGGAUCUUCGGACCUUGCGCGAUUGAAUGAGCCGAUGUCGGAUUAGCUAGUUGGCGGGGUAAAGGCCCACCAAGGCGACGAUCCGUAGCUGGUCUGAGAGGAUGAUCAGCCACACUGGGACUGAGACACGGUCCAGACUCCUACGGGAGGCAGCAGUGGGGAAUAUUGGACAAUGGGCGCAAGCCUGAUCCAGCCAUACCGCGUGGGUGAAGAAGGCCUUCGGGUUGUAAAGCCCUUUUGUUGCGAAAGAAAAGCAGCAGGUUAAUACCCCGCUGUUCUGACGGUACCCAAAGAAUAAGCACCGGCUAACUUCGUG
Molecule: ribosomal RNA, 492 nt
Filed under: uncultured bacterium
Lineage: Bacteria
Description: partial 16S ribosomal RNA
Rfam family: Bacterial small subunit ribosomal RNA
Source: RNAcentral